GAUGAAGAACGUAGCGAAAUGCGAUAAGUAGUGUGAAUUGCAGAAUUCAGUGAAUCAUCGAAUCUUUGAACGCACAUUGCGCCCCUUGGUAUUCCAUGGGGCAUGCCUGUUCGAGCGUCAUUUGUACCCUCAAGCUUUGCUUGGUGUUGGGUGUUUGUCCUCUCCUUUGCGUUUGGACUCGCCUCAAAACAAUUGGCAGCCGGCGUAUUGAUUUCGGAGCGCAGUACAUCUCGCGCUUUGCACUCAUAACGACGACGUCCAAAAGUACAUUUUUACACUCUUGACCUCGGAUCAGGUAGGGAUACCCGCUGAACUUAAGCAUAUCAAUAAGCGGAGGA
RNAcentral lists this unclassified non-coding RNA (338 nucleotides) under soil metagenome. RNAcentral describes it as "partial contains 5.8S ribosomal RNA, internal transcribed spacer 2, and large subunit ribosomal RNA". The stretch from base 1 to 120 matches the Rfam family "5.8S ribosomal RNA", at positions 35 to 154 of the family's 154-position model. The record is from RNAcentral.